CUUUUGAACCACCCCUAAUAAAAGGUCCUGCCUGCCCUGUGAAUUAAUUUUUAACGGCCGCGGUAUCUUGACCGUGCAAAGGUAGCGUAAUCACUUGUCUUUUAAAUGAAGACCCGUAUGAAUGGCAAAACGAGGGCUUAACUGUCUCCUCCCCCCAGUCAAUGAAAUUGAUCUCCCCGUGCAGAAGCGGGGAUAACAACAU
Molecule: ribosomal RNA, 202 nt
Filed under: Gambusia holbrooki (eastern mosquitofish)
Lineage: Eukaryota; Metazoa; Chordata; Actinopteri; Cyprinodontiformes; Poeciliidae
Description: partial 16S ribosomal RNA
Rfam family: Bacterial large subunit ribosomal RNA
Source: RNAcentral